AAGAAAUUAGUUAAUUUAUAACAUUCGCUUGUCAUGCGUAAGUAAUCUAAAAGAUAUUUCUUA
This 63-nucleotide transfer RNA is filed under the name Venitus latreillei. RNAcentral describes it as "Macrophthalmus latreillei tRNA-Asp". Lineage: Eukaryota; Metazoa; Arthropoda; Malacostraca; Decapoda; Macrophthalmidae. The record is from RNAcentral.